GCGCCCGUAGCUUAAUGGAUAGAGCAGCGGAUUGCGGAUCCGCAGGUUGAAGGUUCGACCCCUUUCGGGCGCG
Molecule: transfer RNA, 73 nt
Filed under: Candidatus Gottesmanbacteria bacterium
Lineage: Bacteria; Candidatus Gottesmaniibacteriota
Description: tRNA-Arg
Rfam family: tRNA
About the family: Transfer RNA (tRNA) molecules are approximately 80 nucleotides in length.
Source: RNAcentral